Molecule: long non-coding RNA, 2159 nt
Organism: Hippocampus zosterae (dwarf seahorse)
Lineage: Eukaryota; Metazoa; Chordata; Actinopteri; Syngnathiformes; Syngnathidae
Exons: 3
Source: RefSeq, a predicted model, not a curated record
ACACGCGCGUUUGUCAUGCAGUAGGAGGCGGGUCGGCGGACAGACAGGUAGCAUUUAGCCGUGUGUAAAUCUGUCAACGGUGCACCAAAACGUUGGCGAAGUCAAGCAGAGGGCAUCAACAUAGCAAGUUGUUGAGAACAAGGCUUAACCUGCAAGGCGAGACCUUCGCAAUCCACCCACCCCAGCUACCGUCCAAGUAUGGCUCAACUGAGCAGAGAUGCGCUCUUAAAGGCUUUGUGACCGUGAUGAGGGCAAUUCAUCCAUUUAUCAUGAGCCACAAGGGUACCCAUCCAGCAAAGUUUUUUACCAACCCACCAAACUGUUAAUCAACUAACCGCUUCCCAGGAAGCCACUUGUCAACUUUCUCUUCAUUAUUCAUUUCACAUCAAUCCAGUCAUCACUCAUUCAGCUAUCCAGUUUUCAACAGAGCCAUCAACCAACCUGUUGAUCAGUCUUAACCAACCAGAAUCCAACCAAUCGACCGACCGACCAACCAACCAGUCAACCAUAAUAGACUAAACAGACAGACAGCCAGCCUCUCAUCCAUCUAUUCUUUCAUACUUUCACCAUCAAUUAUUUUGUCCUCCAAUCUGCCAGCCAGUUUUCAGCUAGCAUCUUUACCAUCCAUCUGCCAGUUUGAGAAGGGCCACAUCUUAAAUAUUCGUUCGCAUCCGUCACAUGACUUUGCAUCUGCAGACGGCUACUGACUGUACGUUUACGACGGUUUGAGGUGAGCACUCGUGUGGCGGAGGGAAACGGAAAAAAAAGUGUAGUCCUCCAAAUGCAUGACAUAUGUUCAUUUCUCUUUUGAUUUCCUCGUCUCAUAAAACGAACAUCUAAUGCACUGCUUUGCCUUUAAUCAGCGCUUGUGCACACGACGCAGAAAUGCACCGGCAAGUCAGAGACGGCGCGACCACUCAAGCUCGCCGCAGAGGCACUUGGGCACCUCAGAAGGAGGUGCAGCCCGAGUCUGUGAGGUCCCCCCGCCCCCCUCCACCAAUCUUCCCAGCCAAAGUCGAGGCUCCUCGUUAAACCACAUGAAACAAAUGAGGCUCGUUAUUGGCAUCGGAUGCCAUUGGGAAACAUGACGACCCCCGCGUUUUCAUUGGUCCAGCGUGUGGAACGUUCUCGGGCUAGCUGGCACACGCAUGUAAGGAGCCUUGUACCUGAGCAGCCUUGGCUUCCUUCACACCCUAAGCGCUUGAUGUGGCCUGGCAGCCUGCCCCGUUUUACAGUGUGCUAAUCCGCAUGCAACUGAAAAAAUAAAAUCGCACACGCAGCCAGCCAGGUAGCCUCUAAAUAGCCUCCCAUAAUUGGUGGCCGUAAAACACUAUUGCAGUCUGGAAGUGAAAAGAAGGCAAGGCCCCUGACCUGCAACUACCGCUCAAAAAAAAAACAGGUGGACGUCCAUUAGGUGCUUAACAGCGUAACAAAUUGCAAAACACCCCAGCCUGCUCCGGCUCUUCCUUAGGCUAUCGGAUGGAAUGUGUCCCUAAUGUAAACACAGUGGCAAAAUUUACGAGCAGGCAAGUCUUGUUCCAUCGUAAUCAGGUUCCAGUAAAAAAAAAAAAAAAAAAAAAAAGACAAAAGGCUGUAGCGGACAAGCACAAAGAGCGCUCCUGGCUGUUUAUUCUUCCAACAAGUGGGGAAGAGACGGAUCACCCCUUGAGGCUCUGGACAGCUCUAAGAAGCUUUUGAGAGAAAGAAUCCCAGAUGGCGACUGAUCCAAAGACUAGCUCACAAACUCAGCUGCCACGGCCGCAGUUUAACCUCCUCCGCCAGUUCGUCAGCCCGGGUGACGGCCAAGGUCGAAGACGCUCACUUGAGAGGCGAAAUGAGAGAGUCGAAGGAAUUAGAUCCGGGCUGAGUGGCCCUCAUCUGGCUAAGCCUGGACUUGGACCUUGCCCAGGCCUGUGCAUUUGUUGACCCCUCCAAUCAGUUCCAGUCCUCCCACAUCGCAUGUCCUGUAAGUGGAGCCGCUAACGCUAAAGCUAACUCUAAAUGUGCUGUGACGACAGCACGUUGGAGUGCAGUCCAUCUUAGAUAUUUAAUACGACAGCUGUCAACACAGUCGGGGCACCAUCAAGUCAUAAACACAUGCUAAUGUUAUUUACGACGUGGAGUGGCGUGCGAUGUCACUAAACCUCUCAUGAAACAAA